UUGAAGUGCAGGAGUGAUUAGUUGUUGUAAGCAUACAAUCGAGCCAAGUUGUAAUUACUUCUAAAUUCCUCAUUGAAAAAUGAGUGAAACGAACGAGAACUUAGCUGUAAGGUAGGAACUGCAUAACAACUGGAUAGUCAUCAACUUGUGAGGUGGUGCCCAUCAAGCUUCUUGAGUUUUCGAGCUUUGAUAUAGUGGGAGGUCACACAUGGUACUUCUUCAGAUUGUAGGCGCUCUACUACUUUUUGAUAUUUUUAUCAUUUCAUAAUGGCUAGGGUGUAAUUACUCUUGCCGCCUACUCUGCUGAUCUUGUACAGACCUUCCCAGAUGAGAUCCAUCUUUUUGGAGCUUUCUCUGUGGGCAAUGAUAAAGGCUUUUCUUAGGACUAGAUCUCUGGGCUGGAACUACCGGAUCUUGGCCCUUUUGUUGUAGCUGGAAAGGAACUGCUGCUGGUAAGCUACGAUGCGGGUGAUAGUUUACUCGCACUUCUCCUCUGCCAGAUUUAAGCUUGUGGCCAUCUCCUUUCGGUUGCUCGUCUUUUGGUGGUGCGAUAUGUCCAUAGUCAUCCAGGGAGUUCAUUUGGCCAUUUUCUUUUGUUACUAGUGGGGGAUUUCUUGUGGCAUUCGAAUCAUCUUGGUGGAUGCUUUGGCCCGCCUAUUGCCUUGAGAAUAUCUUGGCGUAGACAUGUGCUACUUGAUGCCAUAUUUUUGGAAGAACUUCGCCAAAUCUUUGCCCACGAAUUGCGGGCCGUUGUCGGUGACGAUGGAUUAAGGGAUGACAAAUCGACAAAUGAUGUUCCUUCAUAUGAAGCACUUUAUGUCCGUCUAAAUCGUGGUCGUC
This 840-nucleotide long non-coding RNA is filed under the name Malus domestica (apple). RNAcentral describes it as "long non-coding RNA (MDOM_LNC015745)". Lineage: Eukaryota; Viridiplantae; Streptophyta; Magnoliopsida; Rosales; Rosaceae. The record is from RNAcentral.